UACGUAGGGUGCAAGCGUUAAUCGGAAUUACUGGGCGUAAAGCGUGCGCAGGCGGUUACUUAAGUCAGGUGUGAAAUCCCCGGGCUCAACCUGGGAAUUGCGCUUGAAACUGGGUGACUUGAGUUUGGCAGAGGGGGGUGGAAUUCCACGUGUAGCAGUGAAAUGCGUAGAUAUGUGGAGGAACACCGAUGGCGAAGGCAGCCCCCUGGGCCAAAACUGACGCUCAUGCACGAAAGCGUGGGGAGCAAACAGG
This 253-nucleotide ribosomal RNA is filed under the name uncultured bacterium. RNAcentral describes it as "partial 16S ribosomal RNA". It matches the Rfam family "Bacterial small subunit ribosomal RNA", at positions 524 to 776 of the family's 1533-position model. The record is from RNAcentral.